UGGGAGUCCACAAUCUUCACAGAUCCUAGUGCCAGUGUCCAGAUGCUUGAGGUCAGGGCUGUUGCGAUGGCGAUCGCUUAUUGGCCUUCCCUUCCCUGCAACAUAGUCACAGAUUCAGCUUUUGCGGCUAAGCUCGCUUUGAAAAUGGGCCAAGAAGGUAUCCCUAGUACGGAAGCAGCGCUUAUUUUAGAAGAUGCUCUGAGCACCCGAGUGGAGCCUAUAGCAAUUUUACAUGUGAGAAGUCAUUCGGAGGUACCAGGAUUCUUCACGGAGGGUAACGCCAAGGCAGAUGCCGCGGCGGGUAUUUGAGUCCUCACAUUGAGAAAGGCGAAAGACCUCCAUACUAGGCUCCAUAUUGGGGCGAGAGCACUGGCUCGUGCCUGCGACAUUCCUGUUGCAUCUGUGAGGGAUGUGGUGAGGGCCUGUCCUCACUGCAACACGGCCCCAGCUAUAGGGGCUGGAGUAAACCCUCGUGGCCUAGAACCGCGGCAGAUUUGGCAGACAGACUUCACCUGGGAGCCGAGUCUUUCCCCAAGGCCAUGGUUAGCAGUCACUGUGGACACGGCAUCGACCAUGAUUGUGGCCACACAACACACGAAGACCAGCUCUACUGCAGCCCAAUCCCAUUGGGCGGUGGCAAUCGCAACCCUUGGGCUACCAGAGCAGAUCAAAACGGACAAUGGGUCCUGCUUCACAUCGCACUCCACACAGCGCUGGCUUGCGUCCUGGGAGAUCAGACAUGUUACAGGAACGGAGUGUUAUGGAGCCAUCCAGAGGGAAACUUGGCCAGUCGGAAGGAAGAAUGUCGGCUGGGGUAAGGACGCGACCGAGGACGCAGCCAACGAGAAAUUGUGUCUUCCUUCUCAGUAUAAGCCUUGUGGUCGUUCUUUCGGUGCAGGGGUAGGAGUGUGCUCACCUCAUAUCGCAGCCAGGGAAUUUAUGGGUUACUUGGGCAAAUAAGACGGGCCAAAACGACUUUUGCCUUAGUUUACAAUCGGCAACAUCGCCUUUUCGCACCUGCCUAGUAGGUAUCCCUCAAUACACGUUAGAAGCCUUUGCGAGGUACACCACAAACCAUUCCGCUUGCCGUAACGACACCGAUCUAGCAAGCCAAACAGCAUGUUUGAUAAAAUCUCUGAAUGUGUCUCUUCCAUGGGAUCCACAAGAAUUAGAUAUCUUGGGGUCGCAGAAGGUACGAAAUGGGUCGCAUAAUGGCACGCGUACCUGUAUUACCUUUGGGUCAGUGUGCUGGAAGGAAAGUAACUUUAUUACCUGCGACUUGUUUGACAGGGUAUUCGACGGCUCCGAGGGAUUGAAAGGACAACUGCAGGCCUUAAUUGCCCGGUGGGCAGGCACAGAUCCGCGGCUGAAGCCAUACAACGAGACCUCUUGGACUGUGGUCAGUCCUGUGAACACGGAGGCUUUCUCCAUUACUUCGGGUUAUUUUAUAUUGCGGGUAUACCAAAAAUGAAACACGGGUCUUCACAGGGCGCAAUACAACCUGCUUGUCAAAGGGUGGGGUCCUUUCUAAAUUUAGCGGUAGAUCCUCAUUUGAUUGUACGGCAGUUUGGGACUUUUAUGGGUAUGGGUUCACUUUCAAACGGGGGGUCAACGAGGUGCUAUGGAAUAACAAAACGGCUAAGGCGUUGCUCCCUGGAAUCUUCUUGAUCUGUGGGGAUAGAGCCUGGCAGGGCAUCCCGCACAAUGCCUUAGGAGGACCCUGUUACCUAGGGGAACUGACGUUACUGUCUCCGAAUUUCACGACAUGGAUGCAGUAUGGCCCGAACAUCACGGGUCACCAUCGCCGCCGAAAGCGUUCGAGCCCUCUCCCGGAGAAUUGUAACGACGAGGUAGAGUUAUGGAGUGCCACAGCACG
Phasianus colchicus (ring-necked pheasant) is the source of this 1876-nucleotide long non-coding RNA. Lineage: Eukaryota; Metazoa; Chordata; Aves; Galliformes; Phasianidae. The record is from Ensembl.